GACACCUUAAUCCAACAUCGAGGUCGCAAACCCUUCUUUCAAUGUGAACUCUCCAGAAAGAUUACGCUGUUAUCCCUGUGGUAACUUUUUCCGAUAAUCAACAAUGCUGGAUCACUUGUUAGUAAACCAAAAUUCUACAAAUUAACAGAGAAGCUUUUCAUGUUCCCUAGUCACCCCAACUAAAGAUGUAAGAAUAAAUUUAAAAUCCUCUAUUCUAAUAGGAACAACCCCUUUAUUCCACACUAAAGCUCAACAGGGUCUUCUCGUCCCUCAGCUAAAUCUAAGCCUUUUCACUUAGAAGUUAAUUUUUAAAUAUUCCAGGAGAGACAGCUCAGCCCUCGUCAAACCAUUCAUACCAGCCUCCAAUUAAAAGGCAAGUGAUUGUGCUACCUUUGCACGGUCAGUGUACCGCGGCCGUUU
Molecule: ribosomal RNA, 420 nt
Filed under: Haliotis discus hannai (Japanese disc abalone)
Lineage: Eukaryota; Metazoa; Mollusca; Gastropoda; Lepetellida; Haliotidae
Description: partial 16S rRNA
Source: RNAcentral